This 497-nucleotide ribosomal RNA is filed under the name uncultured bacterium. RNAcentral's name for it is "partial 16S ribosomal RNA". It matches the Rfam family "Bacterial small subunit ribosomal RNA", at positions 28 to 507 of the family's 1533-position model. The record is from RNAcentral.
GAUGAACGCUGGCGGCGUGCCUAAUACAUGCAAGUCGAGCGAACAGACGAGGAGCUUGCUCCUCUGACGUUAGCGGCGGACGGGUGAGUAACACGUGGAUAACCUACCUAUAAGACUGGGAUAACUUCGGGAAACCGGAGCUAAUACCGGAUAAUAUAUUGAACCGCAUGGUUCAAUAGUGAAAGACGGAUUUGCUGUCACUUAUAGAUGGAUCCGCGCCGCAUUAGCUAGUUGGUAAGGUAACGGCUUACCAAGGCAACGAUGCGUAGCCGACCUGAGAGGAUGAUCGGCCACACUGGAACUGAGACACGGUCCAGACUCCUACGGGAGGCAGCAGUAGGGAAUCUUCCGCAAUGGGCGAAAGCCUGACGGAGCAACGCCGCGUGAGUGAUGAAGGUCUUCGGAUCGUAAAACUCUGUUAGUAGGGAAGAACAAAUGUGUAAGUAACUAUGCACGUCUUGACGGUACCUAAUCAGAAAGCCACGGCUAACUACGUG